Long non-coding RNA from Neofelis nebulosa (Clouded leopard), 388 nucleotides. RefSeq lists it as uncharacterized. Lineage: Eukaryota; Metazoa; Chordata; Mammalia; Carnivora; Felidae. The transcript has 3 exons. The record is from RefSeq and is a predicted model, not a curated record.
UGUCCACGCCGGGUUUCGAAGGGAGCUCAGGGAGAGGCCUGAGAGCAAACCUGAGGCCGUUCUUUCUUUCAUUCGUUCAGCUUGGAAAUCCGAAGUCAAAACUGAAUGGAACUGCCGUUCUAACCAGUUCAUUUACCUGAGCCGCAAUUUUCUCUUUAGUAGAAUGGGCCAAAUGAUACCACCUGGAUUAUACGUAAAGUUGCAAUAUGUCAAGUACCUAGCACACCCCAGAUCUUCCACCCUGCUCCCCUCCAGAUGAGAACACAAAGGCUCAGAGAGAUAAAGUCACUUGUCUGUGACCACACAGGCAGGAAGUUGCAGCGCUGGAGACAAUCCUGAGAAUGAUUUCUGAUUGACACGCUCCAUGGCAACUCUAUCAGGUAUGUGU